UACGUAGGGAGCAAGCGUUGUUCGGAUUUACUGGGCGUAAAGGGCGCGUAGGCGGCGCGGUAAGUCACUUGUGAAAUCUCUGAGCUUAACUCAGAACGGCCAAGUGAUACUGCAGUGCUAGAGUGCAGAAGGGGCAAUCGGAAUUCUUGGCGUAGCGGUGAAAUGCGUAGAUAUCAAGAGGAACACCUGAGGUGAAGACGGGUUGCUAGGCUGACACUGACGCUGAGGCGCGAAAGCUAGGGGAGCAAACGGG
RNAcentral lists this ribosomal RNA (253 nucleotides) under uncultured bacterium. RNAcentral describes it as "partial 16S ribosomal RNA". It matches the Rfam family "Bacterial small subunit ribosomal RNA", at positions 524 to 776 of the family's 1533-position model. The record is from RNAcentral.